Molecule: microRNA precursor, 60 nt
Filed under: Limulus polyphemus (Atlantic horseshoe crab)
Lineage: Eukaryota; Metazoa; Arthropoda; Merostomata; Xiphosura; Limulidae
Description: Lpo-Mir-5305-P5_pre stem-loop
Source: RNAcentral
UAAGUUAAUCUCCAAGUCUAAUGGUUGAAUUCGUUAAUUGGGCUUGAAGAUUAACUUAGA